Columba livia (rock pigeon) is the source of this 581-nucleotide long non-coding RNA. RefSeq lists it as uncharacterized. The transcript has 3 exons. The record is from RefSeq and is a predicted model, not a curated record. Lineage: Eukaryota; Metazoa; Chordata; Aves; Columbiformes; Columbidae.
CAACCAUUCAAGGGAAAAUUGCACUCGGGAAGAAAAGGCAGCUCAUCAGCAGCUCGCUUAUCAACUCCACAGGCACAUCCUUGCACACAGACUCUUCUGUAUCAAUGAACCCAGAUGAGGUGUUUGGGAAGAAGCCAGUCCUUAAACCAGAGUAGACACCUGUAGUGGUGAAACAGAACCUAUUGGAUCAAAUGUACUCUGCAAUUAAGCACCAUGCAAAUAAGAAAAAAAGGUCAAAACCAACUUCUGACGAGUAUCAUGAAGCAGAACACCUAAAGACUCUACCCUGUGGCCUGUAAAAUGUUUUUACUUCCUGUGAAGCAGUGCUGGACUUGCUGUGAACACUAUAAUGCAUCAAACAUGGAAGGUUAAUACCAGCUCUUUCUGAUGAUUAGCUUGGGCAGAACAAAGGAAAAAAGAAAAAUAGUUAAAAAAAACCCAACAACAACAAACAACAAAAAAGAGGAAAUGAGAAGAUAUUGACAUAUAAAGGUGGCCUGAUGGACUUCAAUUGCCAGCAGCUUCUGGGCCAGCAAAGCCAAUUCCACCUCUGCAAAAGGAAAAGCCAAAGAAGAUGAAUG